Molecule: ribosomal RNA, 1389 nt
Filed under: Psychrobacter glacincola
Lineage: Bacteria; Pseudomonadati; Pseudomonadota; Gammaproteobacteria; Moraxellales; Moraxellaceae
Description: bacterial SSU rRNA
Rfam family: Bacterial small subunit ribosomal RNA
Source: RNAcentral
UGCAGUCGAGCGGUAACAUUUCUAGCUUGCUAGAAGAUGACGAGCGGCGGACGGGUGAGUAAUACUUAGGAAUCUACCUAGUAGUGGGGGAUAGCACGGGGAAACUCGUAUUAAUACCGCAUACGACCUACGGGAGAAAGGGGGCAGUUUACUGCUCUCGCUAUUAGAUGAGCCUAAGUCGGAUUAGCUAGAUGGUGGGGUAAAGGCCUACCAUGGCGACGAUCUGUAGCUGGUCUGAGAGGAUGAUCAGCCACACCGGGACUGAGACACGGCCCGGACUCCUACGGGAGGCAGCAGUGGGGAAUAUUGGACAAUGGGGGAAACCCUGAUCCAGCCAUGCCGCGUGUGUGAAGAAGGCCUUUUGGUUGUAAAGCACUUUAAGCAGUGAAGAAGACUCCUCGGUUAAUACCCGUGGACGAUGACAUUAGCUGCAGAAUAAGCACCGGCUAACUCUGUGCCAGCAGCCGCGGUAAUACAGAGGGUGCAAGCGUUAAUCGGAAUUACUGGGCGUAAAGGGAGCGUAGGUGGCUCGAUAAGUCAGAUGUGAAAUCCCCGGGCUCAACCUGGGAACUGCAUCUGAUACUGUUGAGCUAGAGUAUGUGAGAGGAAGGUAGAAUUCCAGGUGUAGCGGUGAAAUGCGUAGAGAUCUGGAGGAAUACCGAUGGCGAAGGCAGCCUUCUGGCAUAAUACUGACACUGAGGCUCGAAAGCGUGGGUAGCAAACAGGAUUAGAUACCCUGGUAGUCCACGCCGUAAACGAUGUCUACUAGUCGUUGGGUCCCUUGAGGACUUAGUGACGCAGCUAACGCAAUAAGUAGACCGCCUGGGGAGUACGGCCGCAAGGUUAAAACUCAAAUGAAUUGACGGGGGCCCGCACAAGCGGUGGAGCAUGUGGUUUAAUUCGAUGCAACGCGAAGAACCUUACCUGGUCUUGACAUAUCUAGAAUCCUGCAGAGAUGCGGGAGUGCCUUGGGAAUUAGAAUACAGGUGCUGCAUGGCUGUGUCAGCUCGUGUCGUGAGAUGUUGGGUUAAGUCCCGCAACGAGCGCAACCCUUGUCCUUAGUUACCAGCGGGUUAAGCCGGGAACUUAAGGAUACUGCCAGUGACAAACUGGAGGAAGGCGGGGACGACGUCAAGUCAUCAUGGCCCUUACGACCAGGGCUACACACGUGCUACAAUGGUAGGUACAGAGGGCAGCUACACAGCGAUGUGAUGCGAAUCUCAAAAAGCCUAUCGUAGUCCAGAUUGGAGUCUGCAACUCGACUCCAUGAAGUAGGAAUCGCUAGUAAUCGCGGAUCAGAAUGCCGCGGUGAAUACGUUCCCGGGCCUUGUACACACCGCCCGUCACACCAUGGGAGUUGAUUGCACCAGAAGUGGAUAGCUUAACCUC